UGCUGAUGUUUGUGUUCUCUUGGUGA
RNAcentral lists this non-coding RNA (26 nucleotides) under Mus musculus (house mouse). The record is from RNAcentral. Lineage: Eukaryota; Metazoa; Chordata; Mammalia; Rodentia; Muridae.